RNAcentral lists this ribosomal RNA (237 nucleotides) under uncultured bacterium. RNAcentral describes it as "partial 16S ribosomal RNA". It matches the Rfam family "Bacterial small subunit ribosomal RNA", at positions 118 to 347 of the family's 1533-position model. The record is from RNAcentral.
UGAGCAAUCUGCCCUUCUCUUCGGAAUAAGCGUUGGAAACGACGUCUAAUGCCGAAUACGACCUCCUUUCGCAUGAUCGGAGGUGGAAAGCUCCGGCGGAGAAGGAUGAGCUCGCGGCCUAUCAGCUAGUUGGUGUGGGUAAUGGCCCACCAAGGCGACGACGGGUAGCCGGCCUGAGAGGGUGACCGGCCACACGUGGGACUGAGACACGGCCCAGACCUCCGUACGGGAGNAGCG